Molecule: long non-coding RNA, 818 nt
Organism: Capsicum annuum
Lineage: Eukaryota; Viridiplantae; Streptophyta; Magnoliopsida; Solanales; Solanaceae
Exons: 2
Source: RefSeq, a predicted model, not a curated record
UUGGAGGUGUUAGGUGGGUGGGUGGGGAUACAAUAAACGUAGAAUGUCACUUAUGAAACUUAUUUUUUCUAUUUUUAUUACGGAAGUCAUUUUUCAUAUUUCCAAGGAACUUGUUUUCCCGAAAAAAAUAUUUUUUAAUUUUUUCAAACAAAAAUUGGCUUUGAGCCCUUUUAUUAUGACAAACACAUAUUUACAAGGCACAAAAAGCCGAACAACCAAGCUCCAUAGUCCAAAGCAAAAAAGGAAUAAAAAGCAAAAUCCGAAUAAUCCAACAAAACAAAUCAAAAAAGGAAAAUGAUGAGACCAAAGAACGAUUACGCUAUUUCACUUGAGCCAUUGCAGGUGAGAUGGAGAUUGAACUGAGGCAUCAGUAGUAGAAAUCGAGUUCUUUAAGCUAAAUGACCCAUCUUCUUCAUUCACUAGUUUGAUUCCCUAUUUUAGCUACUUUUAUUACCUCUUAAUUUCAUCGAUGUUUUGGUAGAAAUCACUCAGGAAACCUCUCAAUCUCUCACAGAUGUAGUGUUUCUGUCCCAAAAAGGAAGUCUUCUUCAAGCUUGAUAAUCAUCAAAGGCUAUAUCUAAUGCCUCAAUAGAGAUAAGGUGAGCUCUUGGAGUCAAGUUGCACAUUUCCUUCUAUCUUAUUCAUGUCUUGUCUUUCGAUUUGAGACAAAUUGUAUUGAUUAUUUUAUAACUUGAGUUGUCUUUAUAGUUGCUCUUGUACUGACUCUACUAGGUCGUGGGAUGGUUAUCUAUAUUGUUGGCAAUCUCUUGACCAUUUCUAUAGUUUUGCUUAUUUAUAAGUUGCAGUUAUUUAUCAUC